CAGUCAGGGAUACACACUCGUAUGCUCAGGAGUCAGGACAGUCUGGAAUACAAGCGCAGCUCAUAUGUUGAGUACAGUAAAGUACACAUGCACACUUAUACUCAGUACAGUCAAGGAUAAAGCCUUUUUUCUCAUUUCUACUAUGUGAUGAUCAGAAAAGGGGUACUCCGGCGCAAAGACGUUGUAUCCCCAUUGUAUCCCCUGUUAGCCUCUGAGCGCCCACAUCUUGAGAUCUUCCUGCUGCACCGAGGGUCCGUGACGAAAUACACUACGAGGACGAUCAUAUCAGUAGACCCUUAGAUGGGCAUUGAGAAUUGACUGAAAAGGCUGAAAAUAUGAAAACCAAAACCAAACCAUGUCGGGUUUUGCGCCAUCGUAAAGAGUUUUUUCCAGGAUAAUUAUGUUUUUUUAUAUUUUGCUGUGGCUGGUAAAAAAAAUUUAAUAAAAAAUUUAAUUUACCUGUCCCAGUCCCCCCCACAGUUCCUGUUCCAGUUACUUCCAGUCCUCUGCUGCUCACAGCUUCUCUCUGCUUCGAGAUGAGAUGUCUUAGCAUGACUUGUCCGAUCAGAAACAGUUGGAGUUUAUUUAUAUGUUCAUACAUAUUUUUUGGACCAUUUGUUGAGACAAAAGUUGGAGCAACAGUUGAAGAUCCACACAACCAUAGUGAAAUAACAAGUAUUACUUACUAUCUCCCACAGGUUUAACAGCAAAGUUAGUGCACUGUUGUUUGAAUAACUGUUAAUGUAACAAUGCUGAUGAAUUAAUAGACUUCAGGACCAGUCUUAAUCUUUAGCA
Molecule: long non-coding RNA, 795 nt
Organism: Hyla sarda
Lineage: Eukaryota; Metazoa; Chordata; Amphibia; Anura; Hylidae
Exons: 3
Source: RefSeq, a predicted model, not a curated record